CAGAGGGUGCGAGCGUUGUUCGGAAUUACUGGGCGUAAAGCGCGCGCAGGCGGUCCUUUAAGUCUACCCGUGAAAUGCCGGAGCUCAAUUCCGUGCACGCCGGGGGAUACUGGAGGACUGGAGGCGAGUAGAGGCAAGCGGAAUUCCGGGUGUAGCGGUGGAAUGCGUAGAGAUCCGGAAGAACACCGGAGGCGAAGGCGGCUUGCUGGGCUUGGUCUGACGCUGAGGCGCGAAAGCGUGGGGAGCGAACAGGAUUAGAUACCCUGGUAGUCCACGCCGUAAGCGAUGGGCACUAGACGCGGGUGGGAUCGACCCCUUCCGUGUCGCAGCUAACGCGCUAAGUGCCCCGCCUGGGGAGUACGGCCGCAAGGCUG
RNAcentral lists this ribosomal RNA (374 nucleotides) under uncultured organism. RNAcentral's name for it is "bacterial SSU rRNA". It matches the Rfam family "Bacterial small subunit ribosomal RNA", at positions 526 to 896 of the family's 1533-position model. The record is from RNAcentral.